CUACUUACCUGGCAGGGGAGACACCAUGAUCACGUAGGUGGUUUUCCCAGGGUGAGGCUCCGCCAUUGCACUUUGGGCUGUGCUGACCCCUGCGAUUUCCCCAAAUGCGGGAAACUCGACUGCAUAAUUUGUGGUAGUGGGGGACUGCGUUCGCGCUCUCCCCUG
RNAcentral lists this small nuclear RNA (165 nucleotides) under Ornithorhynchus anatinus (platypus). RNAcentral's name for it is "U1 spliceosomal RNA (ENSOANG00000039879.1)". It matches the Rfam family "U1 spliceosomal RNA". Rfam says of the family: U1 is a small nuclear RNA (snRNA) component of the spliceosome (involved in pre-mRNA splicing). Its 5' end forms complementary base pairs with the 5' splice junction, thus defining the 5' donor site of an intron. Lineage: Eukaryota; Metazoa; Chordata; Mammalia; Monotremata; Ornithorhynchidae. The record is from Rfam by way of RNAcentral.